AAGCUUGACUACCAAGAACUUGCUUCGUACAUCCUCGCCAGUCUUGAUACUAAGUUCAACACCGUGGUUUCUGCUAUGGAUGCACGAGUAGAGCCUGUAUCACUAAAUGAGCUUUUAGUGCAACGUAUUAAUUUUGAGU
Zea mays is the source of this 139-nucleotide non-coding RNA. The record is from Rfam. NCBI's taxonomy places the organism in Eukaryota, Viridiplantae, Streptophyta, Magnoliopsida, Poales, Poaceae.